UUCUAACCUUCAGUCUUGUAUGCCAUUUCUUUAACUCUGCUUCAUUCCAUGUAAUUUCUUCAGAUUUCUCUUUCAAUCUACUAGAUAUACGUGCAGGAAAACCGUUAUACAAACUGAAAAGAUUCCAGCAAAUGAUCCCAGUACACUGUGAGGAAAUCAGUCAGGCUUCAGCCACACUCAACCAUCAAAUCUUCUGUCAAAUUUUGAAUAUCUACAUUUAAAUGCCCUGAACAUUUCAUCACAGAAGAUCUGGCACUGGAUUACUUUUCUUUUUUAUUUCUGAAAAAUUUGAACUGAUAGGAGUUUGGCCAAAAACGUGGCAUUGUGUUGAUAUACUAUUUAUUUUUCC
RNAcentral lists this long non-coding RNA (349 nucleotides) under Equus caballus (horse). Its description in RNAcentral is "lncRNA (ENSECAG00000054341.1)". The record is from RNAcentral. Lineage: Eukaryota; Metazoa; Chordata; Mammalia; Perissodactyla; Equidae.